RNAcentral lists this ribosomal RNA (450 nucleotides) under uncultured bacterium. Its description in RNAcentral is "bacterial SSU rRNA". It matches the Rfam family "Bacterial small subunit ribosomal RNA", at positions 329 to 793 of the family's 1533-position model. The record is from RNAcentral.
GGCCAGACUCCUACGGGAGGCAGCAGUGGGGAAUAUUGGGCAAUGGGCGCAAGCCUGACCCAGCAACGCCGCGUGAAGGAAGAAGGCUUUCGGGUUGUAAACUUCUUUUCUCAGGGACGAAGAAAGUGACGGUACCUGAGGAAUAAGCCACGGCUAACUACGUGCCAGCAGCCGCGGUAAUACGUAGGUGGCAAGCGUUAUCCGGAUUUAUUGGGUGUAAAGGGCGUGUAGGCGGGAAAGCAAGUCAGAUGUGAAAUCCAUGGGCUCAACCUGUGGCCUGCUUUUGAAACUGUUUUUCUUGAGUGCUGGAGAGGCAGACGGAAUUCCUAGUGUAGCGGUGAAAUGCGUAGAUAUUAGGAGGAACACCAGUGGCGAAGGCGGUCUGCUGGACAGCAACUGACGCUGAGGCGCGAAAGCGUGGGGAGCAAACAGGAUUAGAUACCCCCGUAU